UUGCAGAGAAAUAAUUGCACCCUGUAUAUGCGCAGUUACUGACUAAAAGCACUAAUAGCAAUAAUUAUAAGAAUGGAUGAACAUUUUUGCUGCCUUCAGCUAUUUAAGAUAAAAGAUAAUACAUGCUUUACUUUAACGCCACUGAUCCCAUGUCCGCCUUUUUGAGCAUGCUAACAUUUUUUUUCCAUCACCGGCCAAUUGCUAGUGUUGCUUUACUUGUUCUCAGUUUCACCAAUCUUGUAACCUGCAUAAUAAAUCUACUUUUAAAUUUAUUUUACUAUAAAAAAAAUAAGAGUUCCCAAAAAGUAGCAAACUCCGGUCCAAAACAUAUUACAUAGAAACUCCUGAGAAAGAUGCAUGCUGAAAUUUGUUAGCUGAAGAAUAUAUCAACAAUGAAUAUAAAAGAAUGAAACCAUACUGUCAACACUAAAUUAAAG
This 437-nucleotide long non-coding RNA is filed under the name Aquilegia coerulea. RNAcentral describes it as "long non-coding RNA (ACOE_LNC000535)". The record is from RNAcentral. Lineage: Eukaryota; Viridiplantae; Streptophyta; Magnoliopsida; Ranunculales; Ranunculaceae.